Molecule: long non-coding RNA, 4417 nt
Organism: Amphiprion ocellaris (clown anemonefish)
Lineage: Eukaryota; Metazoa; Chordata; Actinopteri; Pomacentridae
Exons: 4
Source: RefSeq, a predicted model, not a curated record
CUGACUGAGAGCCAGAGAGCAGUGAUUGGUCAGAUCAUAGAUACUAUAGAAGACAGCGCGCUAGCGUAUCUAGUCUGCUAUAUAUAUUUAUGGUUAGCAUGUCUGGUAACGUCUCUGGCUGCUGUUGACCUUGUUUUUGGAGUAAAACAAGGUGGAAGCUGAAUUAGUGAGGAUGACUCCUGCUCCUGUCAUCUCUAAGCUCCUCACACAUCUUUACCUGCACAUGAGGAAAAUCACUCCUGUAGAAUGCAGAUGUUCAGAGGGAGAUGAUGCCACAUCUGGUCCAGCCGAUGGAUGGUCUUGAAGUUCUCUGACUGGCCUCGACUGAAGAUGGUCGUCUCACUGGAUUUAAGGUUCAGAUGCUCAGUAACAAACUCCACCAAUGAGCCAACAGGGAAGCUUUAGGUUUAUUAAAUGUUGCUAUGAAGGUUUCACUGUUUUUCUUUGUGAAUGCAAUGUGCUCCAACUGAAACUUGAAUUAGAACUGAGAAGUAAAUCCUUCCAUCUGAAAGGAUUUAGUUGCAUUAAUAACCUCAUAACAUUCUAAUUUUUAUUCCAGUCUUGGUUGAAAAUAGAAUCUCUGUAUUGAUUCAGGUAAAAACUGAACUUCACAGUAUGUUGGAGCAAAACAACCAGAUGAAAACUGUGAUGGUGUUGGAUUGUCAGACCGUAAUGUUGCAGCUCAAAGCAGCUUUUCUAUCUCAGUUCAUUCUGACAUUCAGCUAUGAAUCAACACAGCAGAUGGUGAUCCAUGCUGUGGAAGUCUCACAUCUCCUGAUUUAAUGGAGCUGCUUUGCACUUUUUACACUGUUUAUUCACCAACACUUUAUUUAAUAAAAAUCCCAUCUAGUUUUUAUGAGGAAUGUGAUGUUUUAAUUUCUCUGUGAAUAACUGCAGUCUAAUGGAACAGCUGGAGUUGUAACAUCUGUCCUGAUAUUGAUCAUGAAGUAUUGAUCAGAAUACUUAUGGUUAGCAGUCAUCCCUGAAGUUUUACAUUAAAAUCUUUACUUGUGUUGUGAACUUUGGUAAGAAGCAGAAACUUUAGCGUUGCCAUGGAUACAUGAGUGUUAAAUUCUGUCCAUGUUUCCAUUUUGGGAAAUUCAGUCCAGUUCCAGAAUGUGGAGGAAUUUAGUCUUACAAUCACAGACAACAAAUAUUAUCUGAAAGUCGGGUUAUUGUUGUUUAUCAGCACAAUACAAAAAGAUUAAUGUUAGAAAUAUUCCAGUUAAGACUCUAGAAUAUCAUGAUUUAUGUAAAUUUACCUCAAUAAUAUGAAUGUUCAGGUUAAGAUUGUGCAGUGAUAUUAUGUAAGUUUAGCUGAUUAAAGUUUAUGACUCUGCACUAAAAUAUUAUUUAAAUUGACAUUAUUAUAAUAUUUAGGGUCAGACCCUACAGUAUUGAGAUUAAGAAAUCAAAUAUUCUAUAAAAUGUAAAUACACUGAACUCAUUUGGAUAUAUUUAAGUGAGACUCUACAAUAUUAUUUGACACAAAUCUAUCUAAAUCAAAAUUUUAAUAAUUUUCACGCCAAACAUUUACUGGACUGAUUUAAAUAUUAAAAUCACUCCUUUCUAAUCCUCUGCUGUACGUUCAAACCUGAGGCCUUAAAUAGAAACACACAAGUAUCUGAUUGAAGGAACUUCUGUAGAGUCCUGGUUCCAGAACAUGAUGAUAGAAACAAACUUUAACAAAAGCUGCCUGAGAGUUUACAGGUUUUUAUGUUGGAUUUCUUCAGUAAUUUAAUGAGCGUUAUCAGCAAUAAUCAAGUGUUCAUUUGAUGAACUUCAUUUCCUAAUACAUCCAGAAUUGGAGCUCAUAUCUUUUGCAGCUGUAAAGUUUCUGCUCCUUCAAAGUUCACAACACAAUGAAUGAAUUCCUAAAACACUCUCAAUGCUGAAGCAGUGAUCAGUUUUUUUGUUUCUUCUCUGGAGAUGCACAAUGAGGGACGUCUGCAGUGACUGAGAAAGAGUCUCACCACAUCCUGACAUGAGGAAAAAGACUUUAUUGAAGACUACAAUGAGAAAAACUAUCAGACAGCAGACGGCUGCAUUCAAGGUGAGCUCUGAACAUCUAAUCUGGAACAGGAAUUCAAUAACGGAUGAAUCAUCUGGCACAAGAGAAGAAGACCAUCAAACAUCCACGUCAGCUGAUGGAGGUCCAAGAGUCUCACCGAACAACCAACCUACAGAGUGAAGACCUCCAAUCUGAUUGGACGGCCUCCUAUUCAGCCACAUUUUAGGCUGUUAGAUUGUUCCAGAUAAGACAAGUACAAGAUUCUUCAGAGCCGUUCUACCACGAGCCUGACAGGAAGAACUCCAACAGCUACUGAAUGUUCCUGUGGUUCCCUCAAGGCUACAGGAGGAGCCCUAUGAGGACGAGCCAGUCCACCUGAUGGAGGCCAGUCGCUGCGGUUCAAAGCCAACACAGACUACGUGGACUUCUACUGGACCACACGGAGGCCUUCAAACCGGACCAACAAGUUCACGACUCCCCGACUCGUGGGUCUGAGGACGCCGCCGAGCCUCGGUCCAGCCGGCCGCCUGUCUGUGGGUGUUUGAGUGCUGAGAGGUUUGUGGAUGCAUGUGAACGUGUCUGUGUUGAAACAGCAGCUUUUGACUUAGUAACACCGCUAAAAACCAAGAGCUCCUUUAUUUGUGACUUCCACUAAAAAACUGAUGAAAAUAAGUUUGCCAGGGUUCUGACUGAUCACAGAUUAUUAAAUAAUGAAAAUAAUCGUUUAAAUAUUCCCUUAAACAAUGCUUUUAGGUCUACAUUUCCUUUACACUGACUUCUUGGUAUAUGUACAAGUAUUUUGGGUGGAAUAUACCAUUAAGCCUAAUGUUCAAGGGUUCUUCUGGGAAUAUACCAUUAAACCAACCUUUUAGGUAAAUGUUCCAGGAUGUUGGGUAGAAUAUACCAUCAGAUCAACCUUUUAGGUCUACAUUGGAAGAUUUUAGAGUAGAAUAUUACUCCAAACCAUCCUUUAGGUCUACAUUUAGGGUGGAAUACUCCUUUACACCAAUAUUUUUUUGGUCGACAUUGAAGGAUUUUAGGUGGAAUAUUCCUUGUAAACUUACUCUUUCAAAUAAAUAGUCGCCUAACCCCCUGGAAACCAGCGUUUGUCCUGUUUUUGUGUUGCUCCUCAGCGACCCUAGACAGCUGGGUCGUAAUGUUUUUUGAGCAACACACCAUACUAUGACGUUUUUACAAUGAUGGUUCUACUAUGGAACCAGUUUGACAUGUUCAGUUGUUCUUUGUGUGAAAACUCAGAGAUUUCAGGUAUCAGAAGGUGGUUUUCAACUUUGUUAACUUUCUGCCUCAACUUUAAACUAAAUUUCCUUCACUAAGCCAGCCCUCUGGACUUCCAGGAAGCUGUGUUCCCAUUGGCUGUCCAGGUGGCUGCUUGGUGUUAUCAGGAACACCUGAGCAGCUCAGUCUCUUCCUGCUUUAUUUAGGUGCAGACAAACAUUUCCUCUGGUUCUCUUCACCACUGAACUGGGUUUGGCUCCAUUGCUUUAGUUUGUUCUUUAGGCGUUGGCUUGCAGCUUCCAGCAGUAAAAUCGUCUUUAAUGUGUUUCUUGGUGUGUUUUAGGGCUUUGUACUGGAUAGUUGUCUUGGUAAAUGUGGUUCUUUAGCCACAGUUAGCACAUGGUGCUAAUGUGUGCAGUGAUUAGUGGAUUUGGUGCAGCUGAGUUGUGUCUUUAUCUUGGCUGUAGUGAGUCUUUAGAGGUUUUUGGUCAGACACAUUCUGUAUUCUUGUUGGUGAACUAACGUUGGUUGUCCAGAAGGUAAGAGUUCCUGUCCUGAUUCUCUGUUCUCAGAGGUUCUCUGGUAGGCUGCAGGAGACUUUAACAUUUGGGUUGUGCUAGUUUGGUUUUUGUAUGGUUUCAUUUGGACGACUAUCUUGAGGCCCCUCCAUGUGGUUUAGUGAGGUUUUCUGCAACAGUUCUACAAAGCAAUCUGCAGCAGAAGAGACUUUGAGAGUUUUUAGGAAGUUCUGGAGACCAGACUUUAGAGCAGCAGAAACAUUUGUCAGCAGUUUGAGCAGGAGAAGGUGAGCUUCAGAGUAGAAAUGAGGCAGAAACUUUCUUGACCCGUGUGGUGAGAAGAGUCUGUAGUUCUUUGGUCUGAAAGCACAAGAAGAGUCGACUGAUUAAAGGAGAAAACAGGAGAUAUUGUUGGUUCUUCUGUCACUCUGCAGUUUCCUUAGACUGAAUAUCAAGUUUAUAUUUUAAAUGAUUUCCCAUGUGAGCCCAAGAAGACUUCAAUAAACUCCCUCUAUCCCCUGGACACAACAUAUUUUAUAACCAUGUUAAAUCUUUUUUUUAAAAUGUUUUUGAGUUUUAAUCAUAGUUUUAGCAUAGUUUUAUUCUCUUUGCUUGUUUAGUUUUGUCAUCUGUGUGAAAGGUGCUAAACAAA